UCGUGACAGUAUGUGAUAACCUUUGUAUGCUUGCAAUGUGCAAUGAUGGAAAUGUACUGGGUAAAUGGAGUUGUACAGCUUUAGUUCUCAGGCUGAGAAUUGUCUACACCUGCUGAUAGUUACACAGGCUCAAGGUCGAGAUAGUAGAGUGAGAAAUCUCAAUCUAGACAUGUUUUUCUCAUUGUGUCUAAUACAAUGCAACAAUGUUACAAUGUUAAGGAAUGAUUGACGGACCACCCUAUAUUUGGAGAGCUUGCCGGGAGUGAGUGACCACUACGUCUGGAUUAUCUUCGUCCCGCUGUGCAGCGCAUCAAAUUAUAAGGAAAACUCAGGAGGUACCAGGUGAGGACCCCGACUACCUGCCUGUGGAGGUUGGAGACUGGGUCCACAAGAGAAAAUGGAACCAGCCAAGAUGGAUGGGGCCAUUCAAGGGAAUUUGAAGAUGGCUUUCGUGACAUCAGCUCACAGGAGAUGAUUGAGCCAGACACAGCCUGAAACAAGAGGCAGAAGCAGAUGUGAGUCGAGACCAAAGACUUGAAAAAGAUGAAGGGCAAGACCAAAGCCCUGAAGAACCAACUGUUUACAUGAUCAGCAAGGUUAUGUUGUAAAUAAACAAACCCUUAGGGGAUAAAAGAGAGGGAAGAUGACGGCAUGUGGUCAUUGGUGGUUGACUGUGUUGGCUCUAUCCACAUUACUUGUUUGUGUGGGUGAAGAUUGCCCUGUCAACGUGUGGGUAAAGUUUGUUUGGGGACACUUUUCUACCUAAGUCUCAAAUGGGACUGCGGUGUUAAUUUUGUCUAAACCCAAAUCCACGAGUGAGUUGUUUGGUUCAAUGAGUAGACCAACGGCAAAGACAGAUCAGGCCUGUGGACCAAAAUCUUGCUUGAUAUGUCUAAGCUCUCUAAUACUCUCAGCCCUAGUGAUGAGUGUUCUGUCCAGGAUGGGUAAAUGGUUCACUGGGAAAUUUGGAAAUGUUAAGGGCCAGAUUUUAAUGGGUAUCUUAUCAUUUGUAGUUCCUGUGUUGAUAGGCUUUUGUUGUGUUUAGAUUUUUUGUUGUCUUAGUAAAUGGGCAGUGAAGAAGACCAUGCCUGGUUUAAUGGUAUUGGCUUUACCUGCCUCCUAUGAUGCCACUGGUGUUGACCCCAACUAUGACCCUCUUGCUUGCCCAACUGACCCAGAGGAUGAUUCCCAUACUACCUACAGUAUAUGUGAAUGGUUAAAGUUCCAGAUGUCUAACGUCGAUUUCUGUACAUGGUUAUAUGAGACUAGAUAGUCUCAAACAGGGGAAUGUUGAGGGUUACCCUGGGGGUCAGGUGUGGGGCUACACCAAUGCCAUGAUUACUAUAUAUGUGAUAACCUUUGUAUGCUUGCAAUGCGCAAUGAUGGAAAAGUACUGGGUAAAUGGAGAUGUACUGCUUUAGAAUUGUCUGCACCUGCUGAUAGUCACGCAGCCUCAAGACCGAGAUAGUAGAGUGAGAAACCACAGUCUAGACAUGUUUUUCUCAUUUUACAUAUUUUGUAUCUAAUCCAAUGCAACAAUGUUAAGGUACGAUUGACAGUAAGUUGUCCACACCAACUAGUAAAAAGGAGGGUUGUUUCCUGUUUCGCCACACAGAUCUUUACUAUAGACUACUGAGGUAUUCUGUAUGUGAAUCUCUGUCUGCAAUUGCAUUUUAUUACUAAAGAGUUUCAUACCAAG
Molecule: long non-coding RNA, 1699 nt
Organism: Salmo salar (Atlantic salmon)
Lineage: Eukaryota; Metazoa; Chordata; Actinopteri; Salmoniformes; Salmonidae
Source: RefSeq, a predicted model, not a curated record